GGAUAGCUUAGUUGGUAGAGCAGGAGACUCUUAAUCUCAGGGUUGUGGGUUUGAGUCCCAUGUUGGGCA
Molecule: transfer RNA, 69 nt
Filed under: Podarcis lilfordi (Lilford's wall lizard)
Lineage: Eukaryota; Metazoa; Chordata; Lepidosauria; Squamata; Lacertidae
Description: tRNA.Lys
Rfam family: tRNA (bases 4-61)
About the family: Transfer RNA (tRNA) molecules are approximately 80 nucleotides in length.
Source: RNAcentral